RNAcentral lists this ribosomal RNA (485 nucleotides) under uncultured bacterium. Its description in RNAcentral is "partial 16S ribosomal RNA". It matches the Rfam family "Bacterial small subunit ribosomal RNA", at positions 28 to 523 of the family's 1533-position model. The record is from RNAcentral.
GAUGAACGCUGGCGGCGUGCUUAACACAUGCAAGUCGAACGGUGAACACGGAGCUUGCUCUGUGGGAUCAGUGGCGAACGGGUGAGUAACACGUGAGCAACCUGCCCCUGACUCUGGGAUAAGCGCUGGAAGCGGCGUCUAAUACUGGAUACGAGUAGCGGCCGCAUGGUCAGUUACUGGAAAGAUUUUUUGGUUGGGGAUGGGCUCGCGGCCUAUCAGCUUGUUGGUGAGGUAAUGGCUCACCAAGGCGUCGACGGGUAGCCGGCCUGAGAGGGUGACCGGCCACACUGGGACUGAGGCACGGCCCAGACUCCUACGGGAGGCAGCAGUGGGGAAUAUUGCACGAUGGGCGAAAGCCUGAUGCAGCAACGCCGCGUGAGGGAUGACGGCCUUCGGGUUGUAAACCUCUUUUAGCAGGGAAGAAGCGAAAGUGACGGUACCUGCAGAAAAAGCGCCGGCUAACUACGUGCCAGCCGCCGCCGUAA